Long non-coding RNA from Rosa rugosa (rugosa rose), 1031 nucleotides. RefSeq lists it as uncharacterized. NCBI's taxonomy places the organism in Eukaryota, Viridiplantae, Streptophyta, Magnoliopsida, Rosales, Rosaceae. The transcript has 3 exons. The record is from RefSeq and is a predicted model, not a curated record.
UAUUCCCAAGUGGAUAAACAAUAAAAUGACUUGAAAGGCUCUAGGAAAGAGAGAAAGCUUUGAUGUUUGAUGAAUGAGAGGAGUUGAGUUCCUGAUGAUUGAUUUGUGUAUGUAUAUAUAGAUGAUGAAAGGGUGUGUGGAAGAUCAUCUGCUACAUGAAAUGAGUGGUUAACAUUGGCAGCAAUGAGGGACACUAGCUUGUUUCAAAUCAAGAAAUCACAUGGGUUUGCCUUGCCAUUCACUUAACUCAUCCCCCAGCAGAUGCAUAUGCUGCUGUCCUUUUUUUUUGAACAUCUUUCCCAACUUCUUUGAGAUGACAGACUCUUAUCACAGGGACCAGAAGUGAGGCAUCUGUCUAAUAAAACCUAUCAGAUUAGGACUCAUAAUAGCCUUGAUUCAGACUUGCACUUCUAUCCAACUCUGGACCACCGGUGAAUAAUGUUUCUUUACAGACAAGAACUGGUGGAUCACCAAGCCGGCCAGCCUACCAUGUGGUUUUGCUGCUCAUAGAUUGUAAUGCUGCUGAUUUGUGCUUGAAAAUGCCACGACAGAGGAAAAGCGCAACUUCAUCAAUGGAAAGUGCUCCAAAUGCACUUCUUUAUUUAUAUCUAGAUAUUUUAAUGGUAAUGUUAAUAUUGAUGUUGUCUAAUCAAAGACACCAUCUUAUAUUAGGCAUGCCAUUGUGAAAAAUCAGAUGAGCCAUUAUAUCAUCAAGUAUUAUUUCCUUUUCAACAUAUGCUGUGAUGGGUAAUUUACCGCUACAAGAAAAUAAAUGAGGUAAUGAAAAAUAAGACAAGAAAGUUUAUCCGCAAUUAAAAUAUAUUCUUUUAGAUUCCCAUAUAUUCUAGAGAACAAGAAAGAUUUACAUAGAAUUAAAAAGAUAGAACUUGACUGUCAUUGAGUUCAAAAUUUGGAGUCUUAUGGACUUUAGACUAAUUGCUUAGAGAGUAUAUACAAUGUUCAUAUUUGCCUGCAUCAUAAGAUGUGGUUUGAUUUUUCUUCAAAAUUUGGAUCUUCAGCUCAGAAGCAGC